GAUGAACGCUGGCGGCGUGCCUAAUACAUGCAAGUCGAGCGAACAGAUAAGGAGCUUGCUCCUUUGACGUUAGCGGCGGACGGGUGAGUAACACGUGGGUAACCUACCUAUAAGACUGGAAUAACUCCGGGAAACCGGGGCUAAUGCCGGAUAACAUGUUGAACCGCAUGGUUCUACAGUGAAAGGCGGCUUUGCUGUCACUUAUAGAUGGACCCGCGCCGUAGUAGCUAGUUGGUGAGGUAACGGCUCACCAAGGCAACGAUACGUAGCCGACCUGAGAGGGUGAUCGGCCACACUGGAACUGAGACACGGUCCAGACUCCUACGGGAGGCAGCAGUAGGGAAUCUUCCGCAAUGGGCGAAAGCCUGACGGAGCAACGCCGCGUGAGUGAUGAAGGUCUUCGGAUCGUAAAACUCUGUUAUUAGGGAAGAACAAAUGCGUAAGUAACUGUGCGCGUCUUGACGGUACCUAAUCAGAAAGCCACGGCUAACUACGUG
RNAcentral lists this ribosomal RNA (497 nucleotides) under uncultured bacterium. RNAcentral's name for it is "partial 16S ribosomal RNA". It matches the Rfam family "Bacterial small subunit ribosomal RNA", at positions 28 to 507 of the family's 1533-position model. The record is from RNAcentral.